Long non-coding RNA from Carya illinoinensis, 1547 nucleotides. RefSeq lists it as uncharacterized. NCBI's taxonomy places the organism in Eukaryota, Viridiplantae, Streptophyta, Magnoliopsida, Fagales, Juglandaceae. The transcript has 2 exons. The record is from RefSeq and is a predicted model, not a curated record.
UCACUUGCUUGUCUUUUGGCUUGGACUUCAUAUAACUAUCAUGCUUGCAGAAACCAAUUCUAAAAGUAGUCAAACUUCUUGACUUUUAGUGCUUGUAAGCUGUAAAGAGCAUUCGUUAUUUCCCUUGAGCAGAACUCCUUUCCUACCUUCACUUCUUUUAAAUAAAUUGGUUUUGCCUCAGAUAAAGUGCACUUGCAAACGACUUCCUCUCAAGCAUGAUCUUUUAACAGAAUAGAAACGAUGUAAUAAAUUUUGUUUUUAUAAGAAGAUAUUUUAUUGAUAUUGAAAUAGGCAUAGCCCAAGUACACAGGAAGUAUACAUGUGAUUACACCUAGUUAGGAACUAGAAACGGAUACAAUGAAAUCAUGAAAGUUGAGACCAUUAGAGUCAAUAGCAAUGGCCCACAUAAAUAAAGUCUUCUAGAAAAAACUCUUAAACUCUUCCAAAGAGCGCUAUCGAUCCUCAAUUUCAGUCAUUCCUUUCCCUCCAAAUUCACGAAAGUAGACAAAUGGGAGCCAUCUUCCACACAACUAUAAUCUAGGGUAUGCCUUUGAUCCCUCUCCAACUAGCUAGUAGGUCAACCACCCUUCUUGGCAUAACCCAUGCUAAUCCCAUUUUGCUGAAAAAGUAAUUCCAUGAGGCCCUUGCAAACUCACAAUGUAUAUAAGUAAAUGAUCCACUGUUUCACCACUAUUUUUGCACAUGCAGCACCAAUCAAUAAGGAGAAACCCACGUUUCCUUAGGUUGUCAAGGGUCAGGAUCUUCCCUAAGGAUGCAGUCCAAACCAAAAAAACAGCCUAAAGUGCUUUACUCCUCCAAAUGCUCUUCCAAGGAAAGUGAUUACUAGCUUGAGUAGUGAGAAUCUCAUAGAAAGAGCGUACAGAAAAUUUUCCUUUACUAGAAGGAGACCAAACAAGCUUAUCCACCACUAUAUCAUCAGUUCCAAGUGUGUAUAACAAGUUAAAGAAUUCAACAAAGACACCAACCUCCCAAUCAUGUGCCUCCCUAAUGAAACUGACAUUCCACUACUAUGAGCCAUUAGUAAUUUCCCUCAAAUCUUACUUAAAAAAAAAAAAAAAAAAAAAAAAGAACCCCUCAAAUCUGCCACCAAAGCAUCCUGUUCCCGUGCAAUUAUGAAAAUAGAGGGAUAAGCAUCCUUAAGAGCUGUAUCUCCAACCCAAACAUCAUGCCAGAAACAACACCCCUUCCCUCCCAAAAAAAAACUCACAUACUUCGUAUCAACCACCUCCUUCCAUAAUGCUUCUCUCUCAUAAUUAUAUCUCUACAGCCAUUUCCAUAAAAGAGCCUUGUUGAAGACCCUCAAAUUGCAAACUCCCAAUCCGCCUCCCCUCAUUGGAGAGCACACCUCCCAACCAACUAAAUGAAACUUAAACUCCUCGUCAAGUCCACUCCACAGAAAAUCUCGUUGAAGUUUCUCAUUUCUCAAUCCGUUAGGCAAUACUAACUGGGAGAGGAAAUAAUGAUAAGAAAUAUGUGGGAAGGUUUGAAAAUGUGCUUUUUAUUAAGGUAAUCCAACCCCCUUUAGA